AUGCCGCUCCUCCCACCCCCCUCCACGGCCACGCUGCCCCACCUCCGCCUCCCGCUCCCGCUUCCCCACAGCCUCCGCCUCCUUCACCGUGCCUCCCGCCACCCGCGCCUCCUCCCCGCGCCGGCGGCCGCCUCUCUCCCCCCGCCGCCCCCCUAUGCGCUUCUCCCGAACCAGGCCACGGGCCUCGUCGCGGCUUCCCAGGCCAAUUUCAUGCGCGUCAUCGUCAGCUCCACCGCCCCGGGGCUCGAGCAACACCAAGGGACAGACCUUCUCUGCGUCGUCCGCGCGCUGCUCAAGAAGAUCCGCCGCCGCGUGCUCGUUGGGGACAGGGUGCUCGUCGGGGCCGUCGACUGGACCGACCGCCGCGGGAUGAUCGAGGACGUCUUUGAGCGCCGGAGCGAGGUGGUCGAUCCGCCGGUCGCCAACGUCGACCGUCUCGUUGUGCUCUUCUCGCUGGACCAGCCGCAGCCUGAGCCCGCCACGCUCACCAGGUUCCUCGUCGAGGCCGAGUCCACAGGGAUACCCUUCGUGCUUGCCUUCAACAAGGUCGAGCUCGCGGACGACCAGAUCAUCUCCUACUGGAGGGACAGGUUGAAGAACUGGGGCUAUGAUCCACUCUUUCUAAGUGUUGAUCAGAGAUCUGGAUUAUCUGCUCUUGAAGAGAUGCUGGAAGGACAGACAACUGUAGUUGUUGGUCCAAGCGGUGUUGGGAAGUCCAGUCUUAUUAAUGCCUUGAGAUGCAACCAAAACAUUUCAGAGGAAGAUCCAAUACAUCAACUUCUUGAACAGAAUAGUAAAUGGUUUGGUGAACAACGCGUUGGUCCUGUGUCCAAGAAAAGCGGCAAAGGAAAGCAUACCACACGUCAUGUUUCAUUACUUCCGAUAGUUGAUGGAGGUUUUCUUGCUGAUACUCCUGGAUUUAACCAGCCUAGCCUGAUGAAAGUGACCAAAAGGGGUCUUGCAGAAACUUUCCCUGAGAUAAGAAAGAUGCUAGAAGAAAAUGAGUCCUCCGGGUGCUUAUUUAAUGACUGUGUUCACCUUGGUGAACAUGGCUGUGUUGUCAAAGGUGACUGGGAAAGAUAUCCAUACUAUCUGCAGUUGCUUGAUGAGAUCAAAAUCAGAGAAUCCUUCCAGUUACGAACAUUUGGAACUAAAAGAGAAGGUGAUGUCAGGUAUAAAACAGGUGCCAUGGGUGUGAAGCAAGCGGAGCCUCGCCUUCAACUCAAAAAGCACAGGAGGGUGUCCAGGAAGAAGUUGAACCAAUCGAUUCUCGAUGAAAUGGAUUCUGAUAUGGAUGACCUCGAUGAUGACUACCAGUUCGGUGUAAGCCGACGUACUAGCAAACGGUGA
This 1350-nucleotide ribosomal RNA is filed under the name Triticum aestivum (bread wheat). RNAcentral describes it as "partial small subunit ribosomal RNA". The record is from RNAcentral. Lineage: Eukaryota; Viridiplantae; Streptophyta; Magnoliopsida; Poales; Poaceae.